AUAUCUUUAUUUUAGUAUUUUUCAAACACACAAAUAUUAUAAAUUUAUUCGACUUCCAACCAAUGGGCUGGACAAGAUCUAGUUAUACAUUAUAUAUUUUACCUUUUUAUCCUUAUCCUCUCUACAGAGUUCUGAGCACCCAACAGAUUUUAUUCAGCCUGACCAGGGUUUUGGUUCGGCCCUACUAACAACUAAUAGAGUAUAAUUAUACAAACUUUCCGGGUCAGAAUCGUCUUUUCUUAAAUAUGUUCGUUUCCACCAUUUAAUUUCUUCCUUUCUUUUUCCCUCCUGUUUCAAUCUCCAAAAGAAAAGAAAAAACGCGUUAAUUCAAUGAACCUGACCGAUGAAAAAUGGCGUUCUUUGACUUUCUUCGCCACACUUCGCUUAACAACCACUCAAACCCACGAUUUCAAGCCAAGUCACCGCUAAGAACGAGAGAGAAUCAAAAUUCUUCUUCCAAUUCUCCAUCGGCCAUGGUUUCUUCCCAAUCCACCAGCUUCUUCCACUGCCGAUGAUCAUGAAGCUUCCUCGGAGGAAGAUGAUGCUUACAGAAACCACCACCACCACAG
This 569-nucleotide long non-coding RNA is filed under the name Linum usitatissimum (flax). Its description in RNAcentral is "long non-coding RNA (LUSI_LNC005946)". Lineage: Eukaryota; Viridiplantae; Streptophyta; Magnoliopsida; Malpighiales; Linaceae. The record is from RNAcentral.